Long non-coding RNA from Ailuropoda melanoleuca (giant panda), 3950 nucleotides. RefSeq lists it as uncharacterized. NCBI's taxonomy places the organism in Eukaryota, Metazoa, Chordata, Mammalia, Carnivora, Ursidae. The transcript is spliced from 3 exons. The record is from RefSeq and is a predicted model, not a curated record.
GGGAGAGGAAGAAGCAGGCUUCCAGCGGGAGCCUGAUGUGGGGCUCGAUCCCAGAACGCCGGGAUCACGCCCUGAGCCGAAGGCAGACGCUUCACGACCGAGACCCCCAGGCGCCCCUUGAUAAGUUAUUUUUGAAUUCUUCUAACGGUUACCCUUAUACUUUGUUCAUUAAACCUCCAUUCCGUAUUCUGUCUGUUUUCAACUAUGUCUUAAGCCCCGGUAAGUAAGAUGAUAACAUGACCGCUUCGGCUCUUCUCUUCACCCCACGCCUCUCUUCAACCUCCCAACUUUUGUUAGCUUUGCUUUAAAAAAAAAAUCUUGAUGGAGCUAUCAUUCAUACGUCAUAAAGUCCAUGCAUUUAAAGUGUACAAUUUGAUGGUUUUAGUGCACAACGGAGUUGUGCAGCCAUCACCAUAAUCUGAUUUUAGAAUAUGUUCAUUACCGCAAAAAGAAAUCCCAUUCCCAUUAGCAGCCACUUUCCUUUUCCCCACAACUCCAGACCUACACAACCACUACUCUGCUUUCUGUCUUUAUAGAUUUACCAAUUCUAGGCAGGUCAGGUAAAGGGAGUCAUACAAUAUAUGGUCUUUAUGACUUACUUUCUUAAUUUGGCAUAAUGUUUUUGAGGGUCACCCAUGUUUUAGCAUGUAUCAGUAUUUCACUCCUUUUUAUUGUUGAACAAUAUCCCGUUGCAUGGAUAUACCACACUUUGUUGGUCUUAGUUAAUGGACAUUUUGGUUGUUUCCACUUUUUUUACUAUUAUGAAUAAUGUUGCUGUAAACUGUUCAUUUUUCAUUUUAUUCUGUAAUCAUAAUUGUCUUAUCUGUCUUGACUGAGGAUUGAUUCUAAAAAUUGAAAAAUAGUAAGCUUACAUAAUUUUGAACAUGUUGCUCACUACAGGGCAAAAUAGUGUGCUAGGAUUACAUUUACUUCUCUACAAAAUUAACAUCACAAUCUCCUUUUUACCCCUAAAGCAUCCCUUCCAGAGCCUUCCACUGUCUGUUAUAAUGUAAACUCACUGCAAGUGGCAAGCCAGAAUCGAUCAAUUCCUUUGUGGAUCUCUUGUCUUUCACUUUGUUGUUUAUUCCUUUUGUUUUAUAGAUACUAAUCUUCAAGUAACUUCCUGAGAACCGGCUCACAGAGGCCUUGCCUUAGAACCGCAGUUCUCGGUUUUCCAAUGACCUUUGAUGACUCAGUCAAAUCCUGUGGAAUCUUGGACUUGAUUUUGAAACUUCAUGAAGCUUCCUUAACAUUGCUGCCUGGUAGUUUGCGUAAAAGUUGUUUAGCAACUACCGAGAAAAGGGACAGAGUCUCCUGGCGACACUGGGUGGUCUUUAUUACUCCUGCUUUCCCUUAAAUCAGAACUAGGGACGGAGGAAGAUGGACGUGCAGCUUGGUUCAGACUCGUCUAAAGCACCCCCUCAGGCUGCCUGUCCCAGCGAGGGAGCUUCCAUGUCGAUGAAGCACGUUGGACAGAGGAGGCCCUCACGUUAGCUGCCACUCCCAGCUCCCAUGCAGUACAGACGGUGACGUGGGAGCCGCAGGUCUACACUGAGGCCCCGAGAGGCAGAGCAAGUGGCUCCUCCUCACCCCGAGACUGGGUGGAGAGCAAAGCUAAAGACCAGAGAGAGAAUGUGGCAGACUCAGGGGUCUGCAGGCAACAGGAGUCUGGGAAAGCCAGGCUGCUCGGGGGGCCACCGGGAGCAUUGCCCACACUGUGAGAGUCCCCACUCACGCCAGCCUCAGACUUCAGCCAUGAAGUCCAGCAGCACAGAGAAGGGACUGAGUAGAUGAGGGAUUGUGCACAGCCUCCAGGGUCUCACAAGACUUCAGCCAAGGUGUUGGUGGGGUUGUCAUCUCGUCUUACAGUUUGACAGAGAAGGGUCCACUUUGAGACUCACUCAGGGUGUUGGCCAACCAGCUCCUGGAAGCUGUCAGCCCUCUGACAAGCUACCUGCAGGUCCUUGCCGUGCGGGUCCCUUCACAGGCCACUCACAGAGUUGGUGCUUGCUUCCUCAAGCCAGUGGGAGAGCGAGAGCAAGACUGCCAGCAAGCUGGACUCCUACAAACGGAACGUAAUCACGGGAGUGCCAUCCCAUUCGAUUUGCCACAAUCUUUUGAUUAGAAACAAAUCACAGGUCCCCCCCCCAACCCUCAGGGGUGGGAAUCAUAUACAGGGGUGAACACCAGACAGUUGCAAGUUCAACUUUUAGAAUUGUUUUCACAGGUGAUUUCCUUCAUCUCUUGCAGAUUUCUCAAGGAUCAGCUUUUAAAUUGUGGGUUAAGAAUGUUGGUAUGCCUUAAACCCUUUGUGAAAUGAGAUGGUACGUCCAUAUCUGUAAAAAGAACCAAAAGAACUCACUCUUCCCGUCUGGCGGCGCCAGAGGCCGCUCAUUCAAGAAGACAUACGUGCACUUGGACUGAUCUCUCGGUCAGCUUCAUGCUUCCACUGCUGGCUUCCCUUGACCACAGGCACAUACUUCUGAGGCAACAAUGGCUUUAAAAAAAAAAAAAAUCUCUGUGUAAUGAGCAUCAAGUAGAUGUCAAACCCUUGGCCUUGGUCCUUAAGCACCAACUAAGAUGUGGUUUAUCCACAAUUAAGUCAGCAGCUAUUCAUGACUAAAACUGAAGUCCGUCUGUAAAUAUUUAUGUAGUUUUCAGCUGCUCCAAUACUCCCAAACAACGGAUAGAUAGGAGUGAUGGGGUUUCUCGUGUGAUUUUUUUCCCUGAAAAUAAAACUACGUAUAGCGAGUCCCUAAUUAAACUUGGAUCCAAUUUAAUGAGGAAUCCACUCACUGCAUAUACUAAGUGCUUUUGUACUUUUGCGAGCUGGAAUAUGAAGAAACCACCCGCUGUUAAAUAAGCCCAUGUGUUGCCAUUAAGUAACUCGAGUAAUGACUAGCAUGAUUGUUUGGUUUUCCCAAAUGCUGUUCUUAAAAUCUGUAAUAAUUUCUAUCCAUUCAUUGCAGCCUUGGAUGGGUCUAUCCACUCCCUCCACCGUGUAUUUGGCCUUAAAGAUUAGUUUUAAUCAUAAAUAAAUAAUGAAUGAUAGGUUAUGAGACACUAAACAACCUUUAAUACUUGCCUUUGAAAUGAAGUUCAUUUUAGGAAAAAAAAUAUUUAACAUAAAAUGGUUCCAUUUUUUAAAAAUCCUCUGAUUUUGAAAACUCCCCUCAUUUAAAUGGCUCUAGGAUGCAAAAAAAAGCUUUCAAAGGCGCUCUGAGGCCAUAUAGAUUAGAAGCAGCACAAGGAGUGUCUAAGCAAUACGUACAAAAAUAGAGAUCACCUCUCUCUAGGUAGAGUCAAAAUGUGGUGGUAACGAUAUUCAUCUAGCCUGAGUCAAAAAGGUUCUUUCUAUAACAGUGAGAUUUCUGUCGUACCCUAAAGGAGAAGGUGACUGUGCCAAAGAUAAAUGAGGGGGUCGUUCAUAGAUGAAGAUUCUGGGCAAUGUAUGAAACUAGAGAAGAGAUUCAGUAUCAGGUUUAAUUACACUGGAGAUUAGAACAGGGUUUUGGACUGUGCAUGCAGUGAUGAACAAGGGACAGAAAUCCGAGUUAUAAAAGACCUUUGUAUGACCACAGACGAAGGAGGUGGCCACCUGGCCCCCAUGCAAAACCAUUACUCUGGAAAGUGAUCAAGCUGUUCUGUGCUUUGUGACCUGCCCUGAGAACCCUUCCAUUGUUUCCUUUCUUUCCCUUAAAUUCCAUAGCACAAAGUUGUUAAUCCCAACUAGUGCUAAAACCAAGAGACAGACCCAUUUUUUUCUUAUGAUGAUGUUCCUUUCCUCCUUUGUCUAGUUCUUGCCACGUCUAUAGGAAAAUACAUUUUGUCUUCCAACCAUUUAAAAACAUCUGAAAUGUGCCAAUUUGGAUGGUGAGAAUUUUCUCCCUAGGUUCAAAGAACUCAUAUUCUUAUUUAUCUUAAUAUACCUUUAGUCAUCUUUUUAUACC